Ostrinia nubilalis (European corn borer) is the source of this 283-nucleotide long non-coding RNA. RefSeq lists it as uncharacterized. The transcript is spliced from 3 exons. Lineage: Eukaryota; Metazoa; Arthropoda; Insecta; Lepidoptera; Crambidae. The record is from RefSeq and is a predicted model, not a curated record.
UCAAGAGCGAUUUCAUUAUUAGCCAGCAUUUCAUGGUUAGCCUGUGAAAAUAGUAAAUGUGUGUGUGUGUAAAUAAAUUAUAUUUUUACAAGAAAAUAUCACUUGAGGACGAAACCUCUUUAUACGGCCUCCCAGCAAAAGACGAGAAGACCAUAAUAUCCUGAACGGAAUGCUGCGGUGUGUUCGUGGACGUCAGCCAUCUACAUCGCUGCAACAAGUCGUCAUUCUGGAAGUCAUACAACCAGGCAGGCUCCUGCAGAAGUUCUAGGGGAGUUUGAAAUUG